This 166-nucleotide unclassified non-coding RNA is filed under the name uncultured Ascomycota. RNAcentral describes it as "sequence contains ITS1". The record is from RNAcentral. Lineage: Eukaryota; Fungi; Ascomycota.
CUGAGUUAGGGUCUGCCCUCGCGGCGCCCGACCUCCAACCCUUUGCCUUGAAAAACGCACCCUGAAUUCGUACGUUGCUUCGGCGGCUUCGCGGCCGCCGGCAGCACGCAAACCAAAACUCUUGUACUUUACCGUGUCUUGUCUGAGAAAAAACACAAACAAGUUA